Anser cygnoides (Swan goose) is the source of this 1950-nucleotide long non-coding RNA. NCBI's taxonomy places the organism in Eukaryota, Metazoa, Chordata, Aves, Anseriformes, Anatidae. The record is from Ensembl.
GCAGGGGCUGGGGAAGGGGGCGCGUCAAAAGAUGGUGGUUGUGGGGGUGGGGGCGUGGAAGGAUGGUGGCCACGGGGUUGGGGACACAAAAGGAUGGUGGCCAUGGGUUGGGGACGUGGAAGAAUGGUGGCCGUGGGGUUGGAGAACACCAAAAGAUGGCGGCCAUGGGGCUUGUGCGUGGAGGGAUGGUGGCCACGGGGUUGGGGACACAAAAGGAUGGUGGCCAUGGGUUUGGGGACGUGGAAGGACGGUGGCUGUGGGGCUGGGGACGUGGAAGGAUGGUGGCCAUAGGGCUGUGGCCAUGGGGUUGGAGAAUAUCAAAAAUGGUGGCCACGGGGUCGGGGACGUGGAAGGAUGGUGGCCACGGGGUUGGGGAAUGGGGUUGGAGAAUAUCGAAAAUGGCGGCCGUGGGGUUGGAGAACACCAAAAGAUGGUGGCCACGGGGUUGGGGACGUGGAAGGAUGGUGGCCACGGGGUUGGGGAAUGGGGUUGGAGCAUAUCAAAAUGGUGGCCACAGGGUUGGGGACAUGGAAGGACGGUGGCCAUGGGGGUUGGAGAACACCGAAAGAUGGUGGCCACGGGGCUUGUGUGCGGAGGGAUGGUGGCCGUGGGGCUGGGGACACGGCGAGUUGGUGGCCGUAAAGUUGAAGAGCAUCAAAAAAUGUUGGUCCGGGGGCUUGUGCAGAGAGAGGUGGCGACCCCAGGGUCGGGGACACGGAGAGUCGGUGGCCACAAAGACUUGUGCAGAGGGGGGGGUGGUGGCCCUGGGGCUGGGGACGUGGCGGGAUGAUGACCACGGGGUUGGGGACAUCAGAGGCCAGCGGGGACGGGGAGCGGUGCCUGCGCUGCCCGCCUCUGUGACGCUGCUCCCGUGCGAGGCCCCCGACGCCCCCCCCCCCGGGGGUUCCUCCACCCUGGGGUCUCCCCAACGUUUUUUUUGUAAUUAUUAAUAAAAAGCUGUUUUUUGUUUUUCUCUCCGGUCGUGUCGUUCUGUGGGGCUGGGGGGUGAAGGCGCGAGGCACAAACGCCAGCGGGCAGCGGCCAGCGCCUGGCCAACUGCAGCCCACCCACGCUCCGACCAACCACCAACCAACCCAUCCGUGACCCACCCACCCAACCCAUCAGCCAACCAACCCGAUUGCGAUCCCCCCGAUCAACCAAUCAGCUAGCUACCCUGUCCGUGAUCCAACCAAGCAGCUCGUUAACCGACCCACCCACCCAUCAACCAACCAUCCUGUCCACGAGCCACCCGACCAACCUGUCCACUGAUCAACCACCCAACCAACCCAACCACGAUCCACUCAGCGAACCCGUCAACCAACCACCCUGUCCAUCGUCCACCCAACCAACCCAAUCAUGAUCUAACCAACCAACCACCCAUGAUCCACUCAACCAACCCCUUAACCAACCAACCAUCCCAUCAACCAACCAACCAACCCCUUAACCAACCAACCAUCCCAUCAACCACCCAACCAACCCAAUCAUGCUCCAAGCACCCAACCAACCCAUCAACCAACCAACCCCUUAACCAACCAACCCAACCAUGAUCCAACCAACCAACCCAUCAACCAACCACCCUGUCCAUGAUCCACCCAACCAACCCAUCAACCAACCACCCUGUCCACGAUCCACCCAACCAACCCAGUCAUGAUCUAACCAACCACCUGUCCCACUAACCACCCGACCAACCCAACCGCGAUCCACCCAACCAACCCAAUCAUGAUCUAACCGACCACCCACCCCACUAACCACCCGACCAACCCAAUCGCGAUCUAACCAACCAACCCCUCAACCAACCAACCCAACCACCAGCCACCCAACCACCCCAUGCACGCCCCCACGGCGCCUGGAAGGAGUCGGCCCCUCGGUCGCAUCCACAGUUUAAUAUCGGCUCCAUCUGUACAUCACCGGGGCAGACGCGGGUGUGAGCGGGGGCCCGGCCGCCCCCUU